UCGAGGAUCUUUCGCAAUGGGCGAAAGCCUGACGAAGCGACGCCGUGUGAGCGAUGAAGGCCUUCGGGUUGUAAAGCUCUUUCGCUCGGGAACAAGAAAGAAGCGUGAAUAACGCUUCGAUUUGAGGGUACCGGGUAAAGAAGCACCGGCUAACUCCGUGCCAGCAGCUGCGGUAAUACGGAGGGUGCAAGCAUUAAUCGGAUUUAUUGGGCGUAAAGGGCGCGUAGGCGGAUGGGUAAGUCAGAUGUGAAAUUCCGAAGCUCACCUUCGGACCUGCAUUUGAAACUGCCUAUCUAGAGGAAUGGCGGAGAAAACGGAAUUCCACGUGUAGCGGUGAAAUGCGUAGAUAUGUGGAGGAACACCUGUGGCGAAAGCGGUUUUCUAGCUUAAGCCUGACGCUGAGGCGCGAGAGCAAGGGGAGCAAACAGGAUUAGAUACCCCGGUAGUCC
This 449-nucleotide ribosomal RNA is filed under the name uncultured bacterium. RNAcentral's name for it is "bacterial SSU rRNA". It matches the Rfam family "Bacterial small subunit ribosomal RNA", at positions 355 to 796 of the family's 1533-position model. The record is from RNAcentral.